GGGGAAUUUUGGACAAUGGGGGCAACCCUGAUCCAGCCAUUCCGCGUGAGUGAAGAAGGCCUUCGGGUUGUAAAGCUCUUUUGUCCGGAACGAAACGGUUGUGGUGAAUAGCCCCGACUACUGACGGUACCGGAAGAAUAAGCACCGGCUAACUACGUGCCAGCAGCCGCGGUAAUACAGAGGGUGCGAGCGUUGUCCGGAAUCACUGGGCGUAAAGGGCGCGUAGGUGGUGGCUUAAGCGUGCGGUGAAAGCUCGGAGCUCAACUCCGAGUCGGCCGUGCGAACUGGGCUCACUGGAGCAUAGUAGAGGCAGGUGGAAUUCCUGGUGUAGCGGUGAAAUGCGCAGAUAUCAGGAGGAACACCGGUGGCGAAGGCGGGUCUCUGGGCCGAUACUGACGCUGAGGAGCGAAAGCGUGGGGAGCGAAC
RNAcentral lists this ribosomal RNA (426 nucleotides) under uncultured bacterium. Its description in RNAcentral is "bacterial SSU rRNA". It matches the Rfam family "Bacterial small subunit ribosomal RNA", at positions 356 to 773 of the family's 1533-position model. The record is from RNAcentral.